Hordeum vulgare subsp. vulgare (domesticated barley) is the source of this 137-nucleotide non-coding RNA. Lineage: Eukaryota; Viridiplantae; Streptophyta; Magnoliopsida; Poales; Poaceae. The record is from Rfam.
UGGAUACUCCCUCCGUCACAAUUUUUUUUGUCUUAGGUUUGUUUAGAAAUGAAUGUAUCUAAAUACUAAAACUUGACUAGAUACAUUUAUAUCUAGACAAAUUUAAGACAAGAAUUUUGGGACGGAGGGAGUAUUAA